This is a long non-coding RNA of Portunus trituberculatus (swimming crab), 182 nucleotides long. RefSeq lists it as uncharacterized. The record is from RefSeq and is a predicted model, not a curated record. NCBI's taxonomy places the organism in Eukaryota, Metazoa, Arthropoda, Malacostraca, Decapoda, Portunidae. The transcript has 3 exons.
UGAGAGGGAGAAACUGUCUUUCCCUCAAAUAUGUAUAUAUACAUAUGUACGUAUGUCCAAGUAAAACGACAGAACCCCCCAAAAUAAGCCACUCCCACACCUUUUCCUGAUUGGCAGGUCUUAGUGGAGUGGCUGAUGAUGUAAAAAGGAAAUUGUAAUUUAAAAAUAAAGAGGAAUACAUU